Molecule: long non-coding RNA, 1606 nt
Organism: Clupea harengus (Atlantic herring)
Lineage: Eukaryota; Metazoa; Chordata; Actinopteri; Clupeiformes; Clupeidae
Source: Ensembl
AAUGUGUAAGAUGCAGCGCUCUUUCGGUCGCAACGCACAGUGUUUUGAGAAAGGGGAUCAGGUCCUAGCCUUGCUGCCCAUCGGUCCUUUUCGAACUAGUGUUGCUGAUCCCUACACUAUGGGGAGGUGUUGUUUGAAUCACGACUGUUGUAAUUAGCACACCACACUGUAAAAAAGAGGGAUAAUGAAUAAUACUUGUUCUGUGACCUGUUCUCCUCUUGUCUCUUCAGUUUUUCAAGGACCCAGGAUGGUGGAGCCCAGAGAUGGGACAGGGUCACAGGGCUCUUUUCUUUUUUUUCAGGUUCCUGGGAGGAACCUUCUUGGGGUGGGAGGUGUUACGACCCCAUGUGCCCCUGCGCACCCUGCCUGCAGUCCCUAGACUGGCCAUAUGGAGGCAGCAGGCUGUGGACCUACAACCAGCAUGAUGAGCAGUGAUUAUCCACACCUGGUUGUAGAUGUGGAUAUAAAAACACUGCUACGUCUGAUGGAAGGCCCUUCUCAGCUUCCGCUACUCUCACACACACUUUUGACAAACGCUCCUACUCACGUACAUAUCCACUUCACGCAUCUUUGGAAACCCCUAGACUUUCUCCUUUGCAAUACACUUUGUAGUAAAUAAAUAGUCUUGUGUUACAAUCCGCCACAUUGUCUGUCUCUACCGUUUUUAUGUUGCGACCCACGAGCCGGUCGUAACAACCACACUACACUAUACUACACUAUACUAAACUACACUGCACUAUACUAUACUAAACUAUACUAUACCAUACUAUCCAAGGUGUGGUCAAAACGUUCUGGGACUGUGCCUAUAAAAAGCAAAAACCAUAGCUGAUUUAAAUGUGGCUGUCUUCUCCUUUGAGGUAGUCACCUUGUGCAGUGAUACGCCGCUCCCAGCGCUCUUCAAGUCCUGUUCCUUAAGGGUCUCCAGCACCAUCUGCGACGCACUGUGGAUCUCCUUCACGGUGAACUGCAACCUUUCAGCUUCAAAUUCAUCUUGGGGAAGAGGAAGAAGCCGCAGGAAGCCAAUUCUGGCAAGUAAAGACUUUACCAUAAACCAUGCAGAUAACAGCACUCUUUCCAGUCCCUGUUUCCGACCAGACGGCCUGACAGACACAUAUCCACUCCCUGUCCCCAUCGCUCCGCGGGUGGAUAUCCACUCCUCAUGCCAUCAGGAAAUCCAGUGAGUGUGUGUGUGUGUGUGUGAUGGAGCGACUCAGAUGCACUAACAGGAUUAGAGUGUUUUUCACUGCGCCCGGGUCCCCUGACCUUUCCAGGCACUGAUAAAGGUGACCUGCUGAAUGAACCUGAGUCUGUCCAACACUAGUGAUCAUCUCUGAGCCUCUGGCCCUGUGAGUCUGUGGACACCCCGCUGUCCUGGGCCACAGGUAAACAGUCAAGUCCAUCAUGGCUCUAGAACUCUAAAAAUAAUCCAGCCUUCACUAGAAAAUAACUGUAUAUGUAAUCUAGAACUCUUAAUAUGGAAUACACACAAUUCAUUUGUAAUCUACAACUCCAAAUAUGAUACACAAGACGAUUUAUGAUACACAAAAAUAUGAUACACAAAAAGAAGAGAGUGGGAGAGCAGCCUGUUUGUGAGAGCAGCCUUCAU